RNAcentral lists this long non-coding RNA (1069 nucleotides) under Chinchilla lanigera (long-tailed chinchilla). RNAcentral's name for it is "lncRNA (ENSCLAG00000025228.1)". Lineage: Eukaryota; Metazoa; Chordata; Mammalia; Rodentia; Chinchillidae. The record is from RNAcentral.
GUUCUGUCCGUUUCUCCAGUACAUCUAACACCAUGUGAAGUUGCGCGGCUGAGUGCGGUCCCCAGGGCAUGGGAAGAUCAGGCAGCGCUAGCUCAGAACCCCUUCCAGCAGUGAAGCCUGGUGUCCAGAGCUGGGUUCCUGGCCAGCGUCCCAGGGCGGCUGGCGGCUCCGAGCCCCGACCGGGCGCAGAACAGCCGCAGAUGCCUGUCACCUCUCUGCUACACUCCGAUCACUUCGGCUCCCUCCAUUUCUUUUUCUCCGACAUUUUCACUGGGACACAAUUUAUACACCGCAAAGUCCACCUGCUUACAGCGUGCCGCUCAGUACGCGCAUCACAGGCUGGGACAGGUUCAGAACACCUGCACCGCACGGAAGAAACCCUCCGCCAUGAGCAGCCAGCCCUUACCCGGCCCCACGCAAACACCCACCGAUUUUCUGCCUCUAGAUUUGCCUAUUCUGGAAACUCUGUGAAAUGCAUUCGUACAGCUGGGUGUGGUCACACCUCUAAUGCUGGCACGCUGGGAGGCUGAGGCAGGAGGAGAGGAAAGCUCAAGCCCAGAGUGGGCAGUUAGCGACUUAAAUUUUAAAUAUUUAAGAAAAGCUGAGGCACUUGAGCACACACUCACACUCUCCUUUAUUUUGUCUAUUUUUUUUUUUUGGUACUGGGGCUUGAACUUAGGACCUUGCACCUGCUAGGCAGGUGCUUGUGCCGCUGAGCUAUAUCCCCAGCCCUGUAUUCUCUGAUUGUAUACUUUAACUCUAAUUCUGCCUAAAAAAAACUUCUCUAUACCUCUGGCAACAAUAAGUAAAUAAUAAAAGUAAGAAGAGCUUAGGGGUGUAGCUCAGUGCAAAUGCCCUGAGGUCGGUCUGCAGAAUCACAUAUGUGCACAUACAGAGGAGGGAUAGACCAGAGGGAGGGAGAAGAGAUAAAAGCAGGACCGUACGCUGAGCCAGGGGCUCUUAGUCUGAGUGGCUGUCCGGCCUGCUCAGGGCCCAGGCUUCCAACCCCAGCACUGCACAAGAAGAAAGAAAUGGACGUGGUGCUGCACCCUGCGAUCCAGCACUCGAG